This 67-nucleotide transfer RNA is filed under the name Phormia regina (black blowfly). RNAcentral's name for it is "tRNA-Gly". The record is from RNAcentral. RNAcentral also lists the same sequence under 1 other name. Lineage: Eukaryota; Metazoa; Arthropoda; Insecta; Diptera; Calliphoridae.
UAUCUAUAUAGUAUAAAAAGUAUAUUUGACUUCCAAUCAUAUGGUCUAUUAUUAAUAGUAUAGAUAA